UGUCUCCCUCUUUUGCACCUCUGUGCUGUAUUCUGGUUGAUGUAUUAAUAAGAAUACAAAAAAAGUAAUUAACAAAGCAAAAAUAAAUUUACGUAGGUGUGCCUGCUCUCUCUCGGGUAUGUUUUUUUUCUGCCAAUCAUUUUUAAUCCACUUUAAUAGUAGUUAGCUUUUGAUUAUAUAAAUUUAAUUUGUUGUGAUGAAGUUUGAUUAUUUUUAAAUUGGGGUUGGUCUAUAAGCUUAAUUAGGGGUUAAUGUUAGUGAAAUUAGCGUCUGUGUUGUGAGAAAUUAGAUCUAUUUGAGAAUUUUGAGUUAUUCUUUGCAAUUGAGGUACUAGGUUUUAUCCUUUUUUUUUAAUAGUUUUGGGAGAUUGACAGCUUAAUUUGGGUUAGUGUUGGGCCCUUUUCUUUUGGUUCUGGGAGACUUGUAGCUUGGUUAGGGUUCAAUGUUAGUAAGACGUCCAUUAGUUUGUGUUUUUUUACUUAUUGCUUUAGAAUUAUGGUGCUAAAUUUUACAUAAUUUUGGGUUUUGUUGAUAUGGGUUCAGCAUGGUUUACAACCUGCAACAUAUAGGAGAGAGUGUAUUAUUUUACCCUCUAUUUUUCACUUCCAAGAUGGAAAUCCAGAGAAAUUGUUACUCUUUGAUUACAUAACAAAAGGAUUUCAAAGUGUUCAAUUUCUAGGUUCUUAUAACUCCAGAACCCAAGUUGAAAGAACCUCCCUUUAGUACCAUCUAAAACCAUCGUUAAGUUCGAGUGUCCUCCCAAGUGUAGGGACAUUUAGUUAGUCCCAGUCCAAAAUGUUUUAGUUUCUAUCAAAAAUAACCUCUUUACCUAAUAGUCGUAGGGUCUGCAUACGCACUACCCUUCUGGGACCCCAUUUGUUGGAACCACAUGGGGUAUGUUGUUGUAUUACUCCAAUUUCAAAUAAUAUUUGAUAAAUAUCACUAUGAGUGAAAUCUUCAUAUCCAUACAAAGCACAACAUUAGCACAAGAAAAGUUCAAAUCUUUAACAUUUCGAAAGUAACAUAGGUGUUCCAAAGUAUUUUCUCCAGUUUGCUAAAGUAAGAAUUUAUUGUAUGUUAUUGCUUUUUAUCACUUAAUUGUUUCUUAUUAUUUUUACAAAGUUCUAAUCGAGUAAAUAAUUUGCAAUCUCUUUUGCAGAUUGUCAAAGAAGCUUGUACUAAUCUUUUGCCAAACUUGCUGUGUGAAUAUCCUUAUAAUAUAUCUGAAGACUUCACUAAAUUCUCUAUCAACUGUCAAGUAUGAAAUUUUCCUAGCAUCAAAUAAAGUAAACCAGAGAAAUGCUGAAACAAAUACUAUGCACCCCAAUAAACCGGUGGCUAAAGUUGCUAUAGACCAGCUGUAACCACCAGUGAAACACCAAAUAAUUAAAGUUCAUCAUCUAAGAUUCAUGAAAAUCUUCAAGAAUGGUGAAGAUAUUGCAUAUAUAGAAACCACCAAGGGGUAUUGUAGGAUGAUUAAGAUCCAGCUAGGAGAAAAAGAGGUUAGCUUAAAUUGGUAAUUUAGCCAAAGGGGGAACAUGCAUCGAUUGGAUCAUUUAGAAUAGUUGUUCCAAUCCAAAUGUCUACCCCAGCAUAAAGAUCUUACACACCACAUCUACAUAAGAAGUGUAGUCUCCCCUUAGCUAACCUCUUUGACGCGAACUUAGAUCAGUUAGGCUAAAUGACUUUGGAUACCAGAUAAUUAAACUAAUAGAAGUAGCUGUCGUGUAGUAUAAAUAUGUUAUUUGAUUUGAUAGAUUGCAUUCAGAAACAUAUUUCGGAACUUUGUAGGUCAUUGGCUCGACUGAGGAAACAAGAAGACUCUUACUGUGUGAGGCAACAAUAGCUGUCAUAAGAAAGUGUUCCCAUCUGUUGGGUAUCACUACUGUUUACAAGAUUUAACAUCCAUAUGAUUUAGUUGUUUUUGUACUCUUUUUUUCUUCAUUAAAUUAGUACUGAGAUGAACUGUAUUUGAAUAGAGUAAACCUAUUACAUAAUUUUAUCAUAUUUGAUUUUCACUCAUAAGUUCUAAAAAUAUUUGUACAGCACAAAGCCACAUAUAUAUAGCCAUGUCCCUAUAUUUUCUUGAAAUUAGCACUCUAUUUCUUGAAGUUAGUGGGUAGUCAAGCAUUUGUAUAGUUCCUUUCUAAUAUUAAGCUAAAAUCUAUCUAUUUUGUACAUGUAUCCAAUGACUGUUCAUUUGGGAUAUUGAGUUGAAAAAGUGUCCGUUUAGACUUUGGACUCCUCAAUUGACAAGUAAAUAUUUCAACUGUGAUUAUACAUAUCUAAACACCUUAACUCGUCUCCACUAGAUCAAUUGAACACACCAACUUAAAAAAUGAUCAUCUAAAUCUCUCUAAAAUUUUUGUGUGUGUCACAUGAAUAUUAGGUGUCUACGAGACACAGGCAGAGAUGAGUUGGAGUGUGUAGUUUGUAGUUAAGAGUAAAUUAAGAUGUCUAAAUGUGCAUAUUCAGUGUUUUCUUUCAAAUAUGGAUUAUCUUACUAUUUAGUGGUAGUGAUUGUUUCAUUUUAGUAUGCUUUAUCAUGCUUCAUUUGGCAAUUUUGUCUUGGCUUUCACUAUUUUCUUUUCUGAAUAGCUUUGUAAUGCUUUUAAUUGAGUUUAGGGUCUAUCAAAAAUAACCUCUAUACCUUAUAGGGGUAAGGUCUACGUACACACUACCUUCCCUAGGCUCCAUUUGUGAGAUUACACUGGGUAUGUUGUUGUUUCUGUAGUCUGGUUUGUGUAUUAUGCUAUGAGCACAUUUCUUAUAAUUGCAUUGGUGCAUUAGGAAUCAAUAUGUAUGAGGUUUUGGGAGAUAAAGUGUAAGACCCCGCAAAAUUCUCUUAUAGCUGAGCCUUAGAGCGUGUUCAGCGAAGUGUAAAUCCAGCCCUAAAAGGUUGAGAAGUGUCUUUCCAAGUGAGAAAUAUUUUGAACCACAUAGAAUUUCCCUAAUAUUGACUUUUUAUCAUGUAGAUAAUUGAAUAUUCUUUCCGUCAAUACCAAUUUCAUUAAAAUCCAACACCGAAUGAGGAAGUUAUGGCCAUUUUACUGAAAGCAGUUGGAACCGCCCAGGUGCGACGGCUGGGUUGACGGACCGUCGAGCUUACUUCAGACCUUCGCCCAUACUUUUGCAACCAAAGCAGUGACUGGCCUAAGUGCAACAGCCAAGAUGAUGGACCGUCAAGACUAUGAUAGACCGUCACUGGGAUCGUCGCCGCUGAGACCGUCACUGGGAUCGUCGCCGCUGAGGCUGUGUGGCCUCAUCCUGACCAACGUGCGAUGGAUGAUCAGACGACCCAUCAGGUUUGUGACAGACCAUUGCUGAGACCAUCGCAUCGAGGAAAUAUGUUCUUUUUCUAACCGAUGUGCGAUGGACAAUCUGACAGACCGUUAGACUAAGCGACGGACCGUCGCUUCGACAGUCGCAGCCCCCGUUCAGCAUUUUAAACUCAUUUUAAAAAGGACUUUUUUUUCACUUUUUCAGCCCCUAUUUAUACCCGAAAGGAUCACAACUUUAUUUCUCCUCUUCAAUAUCAAAAUCUAGGGUUUCUACAAAAUGAAAACCCUUCUUUCUUCUUUAAGAAAAAUCAAGAGAAAUCAAGAAAUCAAGAAUCUCUCCAAGAGCCUUCAAGAAAGAGUUUCCUAAGGUAUACAGAUGUUGAUUCUUGGGUACCUUUCAUCCAAGAAGCUCAAGAACCCUUUUUUAAAUUUCAAAGAUCUUAUGUUUAUGAGUUUUCAUGAUUUAUGUGAAUUAAAAUUGGAGUUCAUACUAUUUUUGAGUUUUUAAUUCAUGUUUUGUUUAUGAGGUUUCAAGCUUUGACCCUAGUAUGUGAUAUCCAUGAUAAACCCUCUUCAAGUUACUUGUUAAGUGAUGUUUUCAUGUCAAUUAAGUGUAGAAAUUGUUGAAUAAGCAAAGCAUGCUCUCCACAUGUUUGAUAAAAUUCUUAUGUGAAAGAAUUAGAGCCAUUAUAGUAUGUUGACUAGGAACCCCAAUUGUGUGCAAGCCCAUGCACGCCAAAUGUUUGUUGAAAAGCCUUAGUGAAUGAAUUGUGACAUGAUAGCAUGAAAUUCUCCAAUUAUGUGUUCUUUAAUACAUGCUAAGUGUUUGAUGCAAGACCUUGUUAAAAGGAGUAUGAGCCAAUAGCAUGUCUCCCUAUGUUAUUUCAUGUUUAUGAUUCCUAAAUACUUGAGGAAAUGCUUUAGUGAUGGUGAAUGAAUGUCCAUGGUCUUGAUUAUUUAAGAAUGGUUAUAUUUUACUUUUAUGUUAUCAACUCCUGGGAGUAUUUAUACCCGAUAAUUUAGCUGCAGUCUAAAGCCAAUGUCAGUUUUCACGAUAAUCUCAGUCAAACCACGAUUAUCAAAACUCAGUGAGUUAUAGACUCUGUACUCUCAGACAGAUACAAAACUUAAGAAAUCUAAAAAAUCUCAGUAAUCUCAGUAUCACUAAUAUUCUAUCCUCAGUUCAGUACUUAGCUCAGAUCUAGUAGUAUUCAAGUGUUCAGUUUGAAACUCAGUAUCAUGCAGUCAAAUAACGAGAUUCAGUAGUAUUCCAUCAGAUAAAGAACCAAGUGAAUUCAUCGUAACUCAGUCAUGUCAUUCGAGAAAUAUGAUCAGUAACUGAUUCAGCUCAAUUUAAGUUCAGUUAAGAAUCAGUUUAGAGUCUUUCAGUUGGGAGUAGGAGCUAGCACUGAGCGAUGUAGGGCAACUCCCCGUUAAAGAGGCAGAGUCAUUAGGAGCAAUCCCUAAACUCCAGAACUGCGUGGCCAACGAAGAAGCAGAAGUCACCCGUUAGAAUAACGCUUGACUAUUAUACUGCCUUAGGCUUGACUUCCUGUGAGGGUCACCCAUUAGAGAGGCUUGACCACAGUAGAGGUCUUUACCCAUGGCACGGUAUUGACACCCUUUCAGCUGGGGUUAUAGGUUGGACCCCACCGGUUCAGAUUCAGGGUAUGUCGAUUUAGUGAGAACUCCCACAGUUGUAGAUUUAGUAUCAAUCUUCAGAGUAAAACUCAUAAAUCAGGACUAUCAGAUAUAGUCACCUAUAUUAGUAAGGAACUCAAAUAGUUCCAUUGAUUCAUGGACCACCCGCUAGAUAGGCAUGUUCUCACAUAAAGUUAUUCAGUAUUAGUAUUAUUAGAUCCAGAGAUCACCUAUUAGAUAGGCUUGAUCUUAGUCUCAGAUUCAUUUGAGUAAUCUCAUUAUCAGAUCCAGAGAUCACCCAUUAGAUAGGCUUGAUCUCAGUCUCAGAUUUAGUUGAUUAAUCUCAUUAUCAGAUCUAGAGAUCACCCGUUAGAUAGGCUUGAUCUCAGUCUCAGAUUUAGUUGAGAAAUCUCAUUAUUAGAUCUAGAGAUCACCCAUUAGAUAGGCUUGAUAUCAGUCUCAAAUUCAGUUUUCUCAUUAUCAGAUUUAGAGAUCUUCCGUUAGAUAGGUUUGAUCUCAGACACAAUCUUUUCUUAUCAUUGAUAGUAGAUUCAGGGAUCAUACGUUAGAGAGUUUUGAUCUCAUAUUCAGUCAGUCGAGAGUAGUAAGAUCAACUUCCAAUCAUUGAUAUGAUUGGAUUCAGUUAAUUAGCUUCAGUAUUAUCAGUUUUUGAGAUCACUCACUAGAAGGGACUGAUCUCGAUUUCAGCACUCAGUUUUCUAUAUCAGGAGAUUCAGUUGUUUAGUAUCUCAAUAUUACUAGUGAGUUCAGAUAUUAGUAAAGCAGUAUUCGAGUUUCAAUAAUUUGAUUUGCGAUAUUUUCAGUUAUGAUUUGUGCAUUCAUGUAUAUGUCCUCAUUCAGUAUUCUCAUGACUUUUCAGUUAAGUAAUUGUUCAUGCAUAAGCCCUUGCAUUUAGCCUUACCUCAUCUUCAUACUCAGUAUAUUCCCGUACUGGCGCAUUUACUCGAUGGUAUUUUAUUUGACACCAUAGGUUCAGAGGCACGAGAUCUAGAGUACCCUUAGUAGCUCAGUCCCAGUCAGCAGCAGAAGACGUAGCCGUGAGUCCUCCACAGUUGGGGAUAUGUCCUAUCAACUCCACAGUUAUGAUAGUUUAGAGGCUUUUUGGACAGAUGUAUCAAUAUUCAACUUUCAGUUUUGAGUAUUCUAGACGUUUUGAACCUUAUGGCUAGUUUUUGCCAGUUUUCUGCAAUUAUUAUAGAUAUUAUGCAGUGCUUAGGUAUAGAUAUCAGUAGAGGGUUAGCUUGUGGUCCUUCAGAAUCAUGAGCACCGUGUGACGUUCCGGU
RNAcentral lists this long non-coding RNA (6226 nucleotides) under Capsicum annuum. RNAcentral's name for it is "long non-coding RNA (CANN_LNC011204)". The record is from RNAcentral. Lineage: Eukaryota; Viridiplantae; Streptophyta; Magnoliopsida; Solanales; Solanaceae.